AGUUUGUCAGAGAUCAGCUGUUCUGCUCUGAUCUCAGCUCUGAAGUCCAACAUCCAUCUGAGAGAUCUGGAUGUGAGUGCCAACUAUCUCAAGGAUUCAGAGAAGCUGCUGAGAGAUCUUCUGGAGAGUCCAGACUGCAGACUGGAGACCCUCAGGAUCAGAGGAGGAGAGACGAUCAUAGCCACGAUCCAGAAGACCUGUGACAGGAAGUGAAGACACACAGAAAGCAGCAACCUUCUGGGGGCCAGUGUUUAUUACUUCACUGUGGAUAACAGGAAUGUCCUUCUCAAUAGCGAGGAGGAGGAGAUCAGAAAGCCUCUCUUCUGUACAUUGGCUUCUGAGUGUGUCUUUCACACACUGGCAGCUUAGUCAUUUGUUCAUCACCACUCACCUUCCAAAUAAGCCAAGAAAAGCCGGUAUAAUGUGGGACAGUAAAGUGGGAGGUGCUGCUACCUGUCUGUCUGAAGGGACUGCCGAUGUCCGCACCGCUGUGCGCGAGACGUGGAGGGAGGGAGAACAGCGGAACUUCACAGUCUAAUCUCCCGACCUGAUAUUUUUAUUUUUUAUUCAAUCAAUAUAUUUUUGGAAAGUGUGCGCAAACAGCAGUAGAUACAUAUUCAUUUAUUUAAAAAAAUAAAAAAAUAAAAAGCACCCCAUAAAAAGGGCACUUUCUCUGGAGGAAGAAAAAGGGCAGGGGCUCAAGCCCACUUUGAGGUCUAUGUGUGCACGUGCCUGGCUCUAACGAAGAGUGGGUUUAAAGGAACAAUAAAUAUGCCAUUUUGUGUUUUU
Long non-coding RNA from Trematomus bernacchii (emerald rockcod), 789 nucleotides. RefSeq lists it as uncharacterized. The record is from RefSeq and is a predicted model, not a curated record. Lineage: Eukaryota; Metazoa; Chordata; Actinopteri; Perciformes; Nototheniidae. The transcript is spliced from 4 exons.